AUGAAUCUCCUUGCCUGGAACUGUCGAGGACUGGGGUUGGACUCGACAGUGGGCGAACUGCGGGACCUUAUUAGGUCUCACAACCCAGCGGUGGUGUUCCUUUCAGAAACAAAAAAAUCAGCUAAAGCGAUGGAACGUUUGAAAUGGAGUCUGGGAUUCACUAGUGGUGUUGCGGUGAGUUGCAAUGGGAGAAGUGUUGGUUUGGCUUUGUGGUGGAGGGAGAAUGUUAAAGUUACAGUGAGGUCGUGGUGCCAAUACUUUAUAGAUGCUGAGAUCGAGUGGGAGUGUAAACUCUAUAGGAUCACUGGAUUCUAUGGAGAACCCAAAACCGAGUUGAGGAAGAAAUCAUGGGAUGCUAUCCGCUUUCUUCGGGCUUAA
RNAcentral lists this ribosomal RNA (378 nucleotides) under Triticum aestivum (bread wheat). Its description in RNAcentral is "partial small subunit ribosomal RNA". The record is from RNAcentral. Lineage: Eukaryota; Viridiplantae; Streptophyta; Magnoliopsida; Poales; Poaceae.